This 28-nucleotide non-coding RNA is filed under the name Mus musculus (house mouse). The record is from RNAcentral. Lineage: Eukaryota; Metazoa; Chordata; Mammalia; Rodentia; Muridae.
UGGAGUCUCUGGUACCUGCUUGACAUCU